AUUACAUGCAAUGUAUGGAUCAGGAGCACGACCAACCAUGAUGAGGCUUGGAAAGAGGAUCUCCAGUGUCCAGUCAUGGCAGAUUCUUCCCUAUUUGAAGAACGUCCGGUUCAACAACAGUGCUGGAAGCGAAGUCUCCUUCUCAGAAAACGGACUGGGAUCGGCUCAUUAUGACCUUCUCAACUGGCUUUUCCUGCCCAAUCAAUCUUUUGUCCCCGUGACAGUUGGCCGAAUAGAUCCUGGGGCUCCACCAGGCCAGGAUUUCACCAUUAACUCCGAGGCAAUCACCUGGGCCCCAGAGGUGGGCUGGAAGGAAAUAUUCUGAAUAAAGGGAGAGAGUCAUUCUCUCCUGGGAUGCAGAAUGUCCUCCUAGCUCAGAAGAGGUCAAUCAGAUCAGAAUACAUAGCAGCCAUUUCAUGAAAAAAACCCUUUGCAUGCAAUACAUUCAAGUCUGAUUUGUGGCAUGUUGAAGAAGGGCUGGGAUUGGGGAAAACUCCUGCUGGAAACUCAGGGUGCUCUUAGAGCAGGACACAGUGAUUUCGAUGGGCAGUUCCCAUUCAGUUGGAUCCUCAUGAUUCUUUGUUCCGGAAGGCUGCAGCUGAAUGUCACAGGACUUGCUUUGCAUGCAGAAGUCCCAGUUCCUAUCCUCAGCAUCCAUUGGUGGGUCAGGAAUGUCACUGGCCUGAAUUCCCCCAAAAGCUGUUCCUGCUUGAUGUUAGACCAUGCUGAACCAGUUCUUUUGAAGACAUUCUGAAGAUGGAAAUGGGAAUGUGGAAAUGAAAAAAUGAUGGAUGUUCGUUGCUUAGGCCAUCUCAAGCAUUCUCCUUUUCUCUUUUAGAAGGUGCCCUUUGCCAGGUGUGGCAUGAAGAGGUGCCAUGCGGGGGAGAGGAGAAGCGUUCCAGAGGGCGAGCAGGUCUGCUGCUACCGAUGUGACCCUUGUCCAGAAGGGACCAUUUCUAAUCAGACAGAUGCAGCUCACUGUGACCCCUGCCCAGAAGACCAGUACCCCAACAAGGGCAAAGAUCACUGCAUGGCCAAGAAGAUCCACUUCCUUUCCUAUCAAGAGGC
This is a long non-coding RNA of Candoia aspera, 1068 nucleotides long. RefSeq lists it as uncharacterized. The transcript is spliced from 3 exons. Lineage: Eukaryota; Metazoa; Chordata; Lepidosauria; Squamata; Candoiidae. The record is from RefSeq and is a predicted model, not a curated record.